Molecule: long non-coding RNA, 968 nt
Organism: Bactrocera dorsalis (oriental fruit fly)
Lineage: Eukaryota; Metazoa; Arthropoda; Insecta; Diptera; Tephritidae
Exons: 3
Source: RefSeq, a predicted model, not a curated record
GGACGGUGCGCUGCACAGAUUGCACAAACUCAUUGAAACAUUUCCAGCUGUUCACUAACAGUGUUACAUUUUCUGCAAUUUUCAAUUUCAUGGGAGAAUACGUAAGUAAGAUAGAGAACAACUAUCGACAUUCUAAACAUAUGGUAAUGUUAACUUGUUGAAUAGGAAAGACGAAUACCUAAUUUUUCAAGAAGAAGAAAACGAAAAGCGCACUUUAUUUUGGAUUUUAAAGAGGUAAGUUCGUUGCUUGGGAAUUUGAUAUUUUAUAAUUAAUUUCUAUUAUAUACAUAUAUGUAUAUAUAUUAUUAAUUUCUUUUAUAUAGAGAAAACGAAAAAGCUUGGAGAAAAAGAUAAGCAUUGAAUUGAAUCAUCACAAAUUGUGAUACCGUCACCAUCGCCGCAACGCACGUGCGCUUCGUGCAAGACAAUCUUUCACAAAAGGAAAGCACUGAUGCUAUGAUGCGGCUAAUAUUGAAAUCAAAGGGCGCAAAAGACAGUGUGGACAGUGUGUUUUCUGGCGAUCUAAUAUACCACUACAAUUUAGAGAGGCGCAAGGAGAAGGAAUCCCUACUAAAGCUAAAGUGCGUAGGGUAAGUUUUUGAAAUAAUUCCUGACAAGGACAAAAACACUAUCUGUGGGGAGCUCUGGAGAUUUGUGACUUUAAGCCACAAUCGUUUUUAACAAAAAACAUAAACUUAAGGCUAAAUUAACCCUUAGCCACCUAACGCCGGUCACAGUGAUUCUACGUUUUCUUACAAAAUUCGUAUAACAAUGAAUAAAAAAUGUUAUUGAAGUAUGAAACUUCUUUUAAGUUAAUUUUUUGUUAAUAUUAAAUAAAAGGUACAAAAGAGUUGAUGUGCGGGUUUUGCGUGUUUUAUUAUUAUAUUUAUACUUUAAACACUAAAAUUAAGUUAACUUUGACCGACGUUAGGUGGUAGAGUGUUUAAAAAACACGUUAGGUGGCUAAG